CAGUAGCCGCGGUAAUACGGAGGGUGCAAGCGUUAAUCGGAAUAACUGGGCGUAAAGCGCACGCAGGCGGUCUGACAAGUCAGAUGUGAAAUCCCCGGGCUUAACCUGGGAACUGCAUUUGAAACUGUCAGGCUGGAGUCUUGUAGAGGGGGGUGGAAUUCCAGGUGUAGCGGUGAAAUGCGUAGAGAUCUGGAGGAAUACCGGUGGCGAAGGCGGCCCCCUGGACAAAGACUGACGCUCAGGUGCGAAAGCGUGGGGAGCAAACAGGAUUAGAUACCCCUGUAGUCCCUGUCUCUUAUAC
Molecule: ribosomal RNA, 301 nt
Filed under: uncultured bacterium
Lineage: Bacteria
Description: partial 16S ribosomal RNA
Rfam family: Bacterial small subunit ribosomal RNA
Source: RNAcentral